Molecule: non-coding RNA, 97 nt
Organism: Acanthosepion pharaonis
Lineage: Eukaryota; Metazoa; Mollusca; Cephalopoda; Sepiida; Sepiidae
Source: the annotation of a GenBank genome assembly
UUGAAACACUCGUUAUUGUAUGAUCACUAAAGUUAAGCAAUUUUGAGCCUGGUCAGUACCUAGAUGGGUGACCAUUUGGGAAUACCAGGUUUUGUAA